UAAACUCUCCAUUAAAAUAAAACAAUAGAUAUUCGAAAAAAAUAAAAAUAAAAAUAAAACAGUAGAUACGUUAUUUUCUUAUAAAAUUAAACAAUAGGUAAACUAUAUUGUAGUACAUUAUGUUUACAAUAUUAAAAAAGAAAUUGAAAUUCAUAAACAAAAAGUAGUAGAUAUAUUAUUUGCAUGAUUAGACCCAAGUUCUUUGCAUGGUUUUCCACAACACAAAAACGACACGAAUACGAGAAAUAUGAUACGAAUGUCAGGUCUAGUUUAGACCUAAGUUCUUUGCAUGGUUUUCCACAACAUAAAAGCUGAUAAUUCAAUUGUUGAAAGAUGUCAAGAAAGGCAAUGAAAGGAUCAAAUGGAUGGACAGAGAACCUUAUGCAUACUGGAAAGGGAACCCUUUUGUUGCCGAUACGAGGAAAGACUUAGCUCAAAAACACUUGACUGGAAUGCUCGCCUAUUCAUCCAGUACCAUUAAAGAUAAAAACUAAUUUCAUUUAAACAAAUGGCAUAUGUUAUCAACAACAUUAACUUUUGAUUGAAACAGUGCCCGCCGUCCAGCGUCUUCGAAUCUUCGGUCUCUCCGUCUUCCAAGUUCCAAGCCUUUCUCUUCGUCUUCUUAAGUUCUUCGCGACCAGACUACAGGCUAAGGCUGCACCGUCCACCCACACCAGAUCCAACGGUUCACACAGACCUGCCUGCCUCCACCACCACCUGACCACCAUCGCCCAUCGGAUGAUCGCCGAUCUAAUGCCGAUGAUAUUAAAUCCCGACUCCAAAGCCCAACCCAAAUGCGCAGCCGUGGCGAAGCGAGUUUCAAAUGCAUCCGCAUUGACUCACGGUGUCAAGUCGGUCUUUCGGUUCGUUCGAUUCGCCGAGAUCGAAUUCCUCUUUCGUUGUCUUCAUCAUCGCUUUUAUCAUUUUCAAAGAUCUCAUUCUUCAAAUUUGUUGACUCGUGCUGAUUGAGUUGGGCAAAACUUUUCUAGGCAUUUGAUGUGAUGAUAAUUAAAGAACCGACGCUGGCUGAUGAUCAUAUGGAUGCUAUGGAAGAAUAGGAACGACGCUGUCUGGAAUGGGGCUCGGGUGCCGCAGGAGCUGGUGGUCAGAACAGAGGGUUGGUUGCAGGAGUACCAGAAGUGGCAUAAAACUGGAACGGAAAAAUCCAUUAAUCCCCCGCAGAUAUGGCGGAGAGCUGAAGUUGACUGGGUCAAGUGUAGUUUCGACGGAGCGUGGAUCCAGCAGGGUUCGAGGGGAGGCUUUGGUGCUGUUAUGCGAGAUCAUGGGGGAGUUUUCAUUGCUGCAGCUGCGAGUUAGAUUGGUUGGACAUGUUCCGCGUUCCAUGCUGAACUUUUUCCUGCUCGUCAGGCUGUGUUGCUGGCCCAAACGUUUUGCCCUGUUGGUAAAAGGAUGAUUUCUGAAGGUGACUUUAGCCUGGUUUUGGCUGCCAUGAAGGAUCAGGAGGAGGAUUGUUCACUUUUGGGGCCUAUCAUUAAUGAUCCGCGUUUUUUCCUCAGUCGUUGGUGAACUAUGUGCAACGGGGAGGUAACUCGGCUGCGCACAGGUUUGCUCGAGUGUAGGGUGUGAAUAAAACAAUCAUUAGAUUUGUUAGAGCUUCCCUGGCUUGGAACCCGUCGGCCUCUCGCACCUCUGCCUAUGUCCUUCUAUAUUGCUUUGCCAUUUAGCAUAUCUUAUCGCACUUACUUUUGUCCCCUUUUCACUAUAGUUGCUCGUGACAAACUAAUGAAAACAACAAUAAAUCUUCAUGGACAAAUUGUAGAGAAAGACAACGGGCACACAAAAGAAACACAAGAGCAUGAAAUAAAAAUGUUAAUUUGACUUCAA
Molecule: long non-coding RNA, 1845 nt
Organism: Pyrus x bretschneideri (Chinese white pear)
Lineage: Eukaryota; Viridiplantae; Streptophyta; Magnoliopsida; Rosales; Rosaceae
Exons: 2
Source: RefSeq, a predicted model, not a curated record